RNAcentral lists this ribosomal RNA (727 nucleotides) under Streptomyces sp. RNAcentral's name for it is "bacterial SSU rRNA". It matches the Rfam family "Bacterial small subunit ribosomal RNA", at positions 137 to 876 of the family's 1533-position model. The record is from RNAcentral. Lineage: Bacteria; Bacillati; Actinomycetota; Actinomycetes; Kitasatosporales; Streptomycetaceae.
UCUGGGACAAGCCCUGGAAACGGGGUCUAAUACCGGAUAAUACUGUGCCCCUCAUGGGGGACGGUUGAAAGCUCCGGCGGUGCAGGAUGAGCCCGCGGCCUAUCAGCUUGUUGGUGGGGUAAUGGCCUACCAAGGCGACGACGGGUAGCCGGCCUGAGAGGGCGACCGGCCACACUGGGACUGAGACACGGCCCAGACUCCUACGGGAGGCAGCAGUGGGGAAUAUUGCACAAUGGGCGAAAGCCUGAUGCAGCGACGCCGCGUGAGGGAUGACGGCCUUCGGGUUGUAAACCUCUUUCAGCAGGGAAGAAGCGAAAGUGACGGUACCUGCAGAAGAAGCGCCGGCUAACUACGUGCCAGCAGCCGCGGUAAUACGUAGGGCGCAAGCGUUGUCCGGAAUUAUUGGGCGUAAAGAGCUCGUAGGCGGUCUGUCACGUCGGGUGUGAAAGCCCGGGGCUUAACCCCGGGUCUGCAUUCGAUACGGGCAGACUAGAGUGUGGUAGGGGAGAUCGGAAUUCCUGGUGUAGCGGUGAAAUGCGCAGAUAUCAGGAGGAACACCGGUGGCGAAGGCGGAUCUCUGGGCCAUUACUGACGCUGAGGAGCGAAAGCGUGGGGAGCGAACAGGAUUAGAUACCCUGGUAGUCCACGCCGUAAACGUUGGGAACUAGGUGUUGGCGACAUUCCACGUCGUCGGUGCCGCAGCUAACGCAUUAAGUUCCCCGCCUGG